RNAcentral lists this microRNA precursor (98 nucleotides) under Chlorocebus sabaeus (green monkey). Its description in RNAcentral is "miRNA (ENSCSAG00000024749.1)". Lineage: Eukaryota; Metazoa; Chordata; Mammalia; Primates; Cercopithecidae. The record is from RNAcentral.
AGGUAGGAGGAUGGCUUGAGCCUGGGAGGUGGAGGUUGCAGUGAGCUGAGAUCAGGCCAUUGCACUCCAGCCUGGGCGACAGAGCCAGACCUUGUCUC